Mya arenaria is the source of this 239-nucleotide long non-coding RNA. RefSeq lists it as uncharacterized. The record is from RefSeq and is a predicted model, not a curated record. Lineage: Eukaryota; Metazoa; Mollusca; Bivalvia; Myida; Myidae. The transcript is spliced from 3 exons.
AAACAACAAAGGUGACAACAGAAGACAUCAACAAGAUGCAGUACAUCUUUUUCCAAAAACAGAAUGAGCUGGCCGAUGUCCAAAUCCGAAGCUUCGCAGCAAUGGAGACAUUCUUCAAGUGUGCCACUGAAAAAAUGCAAGAGAAGGAACAAUCCUUCAGCCAAACACUAGCGGGAUUCAUGGACCAGUGAUAUAAUACGUCUCAAGUUCCCCUUGCCACCUCAACCCCUGAUUUCAAG